AUGCCAUGAUGUGGACAUUUUCUUAAUAUUGCUUUUAAUCUUUCCCAAGCCUCAUAAACUGAUUCAAUUUUAGUCUGCAAGAAAUUAAAAAAAUUUCUUGUCCU
This 104-nucleotide small nucleolar RNA is filed under the name Capsicum annuum. RNAcentral describes it as "Plant small nucleolar RNA R71". It matches the Rfam family "Plant small nucleolar RNA R71". Rfam says of the family: R71 is a member of the C/D box family of snoRNAs containing the C (UGAUGA) and D (CUGA) box motifs. Multiple nearly identical copies of this snoRNA have been identified in Arabidopsis, and it is thought to function as a 2'-O-ribose methylation guide for 18S ribosomal RNA. Lineage: Eukaryota; Viridiplantae; Streptophyta; Magnoliopsida; Solanales; Solanaceae. The record is from Rfam by way of RNAcentral.